AUUGAACGCCGGCGGCAUGCCUUACACAUGCAAGUCGAACGGCAGCACGGGUGCUUGCACCUGGUGGCGAGUGGCGAACGGGUGAGUAAUACAUCGGAACGUACCUUAUCGUGGGGGAUAACGCAGCGAAAGCUGUGCUAAUACCGCAUACGCCCUGAGGGGGAAAGCGGGGGAUCGCAAGACCUCGCGCGAUUAGAGCGGCCGAUGCCUGAUUAGCUUGUUGGUGGGGUAAAAGCCCACCAAGGCGACGAUCAGUAGCUGGUCUGAGAGGACGAUCAGCCACACUGGGACUGAGACACGGCCCAGACUCCUACGGGAGGCAGCAGUGGGGAAUUUUGGACAAUGGGGGCAACCCUGAUCCAGCAAUGCCUCGUGAGUGAAGAAGGCCUUCGGGUUGUAAAGCUCUUUUGUCAGGGAAGAAACACCGGCUCUAACACAGUCCGGGAAUGACGGUACCUGAAGAAUAAGCACCGGCUAACUACGUGCCAGCAGCCGCCGUAA
RNAcentral lists this ribosomal RNA (501 nucleotides) under uncultured bacterium. RNAcentral describes it as "partial 16S ribosomal RNA". It matches the Rfam family "Bacterial small subunit ribosomal RNA", at positions 30 to 523 of the family's 1533-position model. The record is from RNAcentral.